RNAcentral lists this non-coding RNA (110 nucleotides) under Trichococcus sp. Its description in RNAcentral is "SAM-I sequence". It matches the Rfam family "SAM riboswitch aptamer (S box leader)". Rfam says of the family: The SAM riboswitch is found upstream of a number of genes which code for proteins involved in methionine or cysteine biosynthesis in Gram-positive bacteria. The SAM riboswitch acts at the level of transcription termination control. Lineage: Bacteria; Bacillati; Bacillota; Bacilli; Lactobacillales; Carnobacteriaceae. The record is from RNAcentral.
UCUUUAUCACGAGAGAUUGAGGGACUGGCCCGAUGACAUCUCAGCAACCGACCCACGCGUAACGCGGCGGCACGGUGCUAAAUCCUGCAGAGUAAUCUGAGAGAUAAGAA